RNAcentral lists this ribosomal RNA (253 nucleotides) under uncultured bacterium. RNAcentral describes it as "partial 16S ribosomal RNA". It matches the Rfam family "Bacterial small subunit ribosomal RNA", at positions 524 to 776 of the family's 1533-position model. The record is from RNAcentral.
UACGGGGGGGGCAAGCGUUGUUCGGAAUUACUGGGCGUAAAGGGCGCGUAGGCGGUGACUUAAGCGUGUGGUGAAAGCUCGGGGCUCAACCCCGAGUCGGCCGUGCGAACUGGGUCACUGGAGCAGAUCAGAGGCAGGCGGAAUUCCGGGUGUAGCGGUGGAAUGCGUAGAGAUCCGGAAGAACACCGGUGGCGAAGGCGGCCUGCUGGGAUCUUGCUGACGCUGAGGCGCGACAGCGUGGGGAGCAAACAGG